Molecule: ribosomal RNA, 614 nt
Filed under: uncultured bacterium
Lineage: Bacteria
Description: bacterial SSU rRNA
Rfam family: Bacterial small subunit ribosomal RNA
Source: RNAcentral
CCUACGGGAGGCAGCAGUGAGGAAUAUUGGACAAUGGGCGCAAGCCUGAUCCAGCCAUGCCGCGUGCAGGAUGAAGCAUCUAUGGUGUGUAAACUGCUUUUAUACAGGAAGAAACCUCCCGACGUGUCGGGAAUUGACGGUACUGUAAGAAUAAGGAUCGGCUAACUCCGUGCCAGCAGCCGCGGUAAUACGGAGGAUCCAAGCGUUAUCCGGAAUCAUUGGGUUUAAAGGGUCCGUAGGCGGGCCAGUAAGUCAGUGGUGAAAUCUCUCCGCUCAACGGGGAAAUGGCCAUUGAUACUGCUGGUCUUGAAUUAUUAGGAAGUAACUAGAAUAUGUAGUGUAGCGGUGAAAUGCUUAGAGAUUACAUGGAAUACCAAUUGCGAAGGCAGGUUACUACUAAUGGAUUGACGCUGAUGGACGAAAGCGUGGGUAGCGAACAGGAUUAGAUACCCUGGUAGUCCACGCCGUAAACGAUGGAUACUAGCUGUUGGGGGCAACUUCAGUGGCUAAGCGAAAGUGAUAAGUAUCCCACCUGGGGAGUACGUUCGCAGAAUGAAACCUNAAGAGUAGUACGGACGNGAGAGAGACGACGACGACGACGACGGAGGGAGGAG